Molecule: long non-coding RNA, 845 nt
Filed under: Homo sapiens (human)
Lineage: Eukaryota; Metazoa; Chordata; Mammalia; Primates; Hominidae
Description: long intergenic non-protein coding RNA 2395
Source: RNAcentral
GGGCCUGGGAAGAUGCUGCGGAGGACGCUGCGGAUUCGCGAGCCCGGGAUGAGGAAACUGAGGCUGAGAGGGUAGAGAACUUUGCCUGAGGUCACUCAGCAGGGACCCACCCAUCACAGUAAAUGCCAGCACUGCUGAUGCCAAAACAAUGUUAUUUGUGCCUGAACACCCUGUCCUACCUGGUCCUACCUGGAUGCUGGCCUCAGUAAGCUCCUGGGCUCAUUGAAGAUGAACCUAGCAGUAGUAUUUACACCACUUGUUGUGUGCCCACUGUGGGCCCGGCGCCAUGCCGAGUGCUCUAUGGAUGUGAGUGCUGGGAGAGAAAAGCAUACGACAUAGACAGGGAGGUCAAGCUCCACCACGCAGAUGAGGUGCAGGCCACCAGUCUUCCUCUGCCACAUCUCUUUCUGAAAAGGACUUCACAUUCACCCUUGCAAUCCAUGUGGGGACACUGUUGGAUAGGAGGCGUGGUCCCAGCGUGGUCUCCCUGUCUGGGCCUCUGCCUAUGCCAAAUGUUUGCCUUACGCUGCACACUCAAGAGGUUCCAUGUAUACAGAUGGGAAUUCCAGAGCUACAGAAAAGGCAGCAAGCACCAUGAUUUAAGCUAACCAGUGUGGAUUCACACCUUCCUCUCUCUCUAUCAGUGGCAGAACUACCAGCUAGAGUAAGAAGUGGUUGAUCCAGGACCUAAACAUUCUGGAAACUCUUGCCCACUUCUGGGAGAAAUGACCCAAUCCAUAGUACUAAGCACACCUUAACUUUCGUAGGACGCAGGCAAGUUGUCAUACCGUGUGCCUAAAUAUAGAAAAAUGAUCCACUGGACUAAUAAAGUGUUAAAUAAAAUA